CUAUUACAUACUGAUAUUGUUACCUGGAUUUAUGUCUCAUUUUUUUUAGUCAAUUCAUAAAAUCAGUCAUUCCUUAAAAAUUGUCACCUUGUCGUGUUUAAUGACACAAAAUAACUGGACUUUGCAUCAGUUCUACCUAAAAGACGACAUUUGAAGGAGAGAGGAAGAUUCGUCUUGAUGAGAAUAUAUAGGCUUUAAAGGGUGACUUUUUCAAGUUUUAGAUGAGUCAACACAAACUUAUUUUUAUCCUACUGCAAUACGUAUUGUUCUGUUCAUCAGUAUAUUGCUCACUAACAUUAGAUGACAAAAGUAUCGAGUCAGAAGGUCUUCUACCAGCUUACAACAUAGUUAACCAUGAUGUCGUAGAAGGCAGUGGAGAUGAUGGGGCCUUUCCAGCAGAAAACGUUCGUUUAACAACAGAAAAGUGUGACUGCUCCAAUAUAAAAACAACACCGGACUCGAGAGUUUUCUACAAUAACCCAGAACCACUUAUUGUUACAUCGACGCCAUCUGUUGUAAUAGGUAUAAUAGUGAUACUAUCAAUCCUGGUCCUGAUCUGCAUCAGCGCUAUCGCCUAUCUACUAGGUAAAGUCAAAUAUCUUAACAUGAGACAGAGGGCUCCAGCACCGAACAAAACAAAAGAAGACUAUGACUCAGAUGAAUACUCAGUGAUGAUGGACUGGUCGAAUGAACCCAGUAUAGUGGUCAAACAAAACAAAAAGAAAAGAGAAACAUGAAAGGGCUCUACUCACCGAAGUUAAA
Molecule: long non-coding RNA, 762 nt
Organism: Mytilus californianus (California mussel)
Lineage: Eukaryota; Metazoa; Mollusca; Bivalvia; Mytilida; Mytilidae
Exons: 4
Source: RefSeq, a predicted model, not a curated record